This 317-nucleotide ribosomal RNA is filed under the name Campylobacter jejuni. RNAcentral describes it as "partial 23S ribosomal RNA". It matches the Rfam family "Bacterial large subunit ribosomal RNA", at positions 1 to 332 of the family's 2925-position model. The record is from RNAcentral. Lineage: Bacteria; Pseudomonadati; Campylobacterota; Epsilonproteobacteria; Campylobacterales; Campylobacteraceae.
UAAAAAAAGGUAAGCUACUAAGAGCGAAUGGUGGAUGCCUUGACUGGUAAAGGCGAUGAAGGACGUACUAGACUGCGAUAAGCUACGGGGAGCUGUCAAGAAGCUUUGAUCCGUAGAUUUCCGAAUGGGGCAACCCAAUGUAUAGAGAUAUACAUUACCUAUAUAGGAGCGAACGAGGGGAAUUGAAACAUCUUAGUACCCUCAGGAAAAGAAAUCAAUAGAGAUUGCGUCAGUAGCGGCGAGCGAAAGCGCAAGAGGGCAAACCCAGUGCUUGCACUGGGGGUUGUAGGACUGCAAUGUGCAAGAGCUGAGUUUAG